Molecule: unclassified non-coding RNA, 17 nt
Filed under: Mus musculus (house mouse)
Lineage: Eukaryota; Metazoa; Chordata; Mammalia; Rodentia; Muridae
Description: oocyte_clustered_small_RNA6064
Source: RNAcentral
UGGUUUGCCUCCCAUGG